AUGCAAUGCUAUGCAAGUGCAACACAAAGGGUAAAAAUCGAAAAGCAACGUUCGGAUUGAAAAAAUAGAGAGAGAAAGAGAAAGCGGCACAAAAACAAAAGAGAAGAAGGAUCAUAAAAACCUUCCCAUUUGCUUCCAAAUACUAUACUCCUUCCUUCCAAAGCAACAACACUCUUUGGAACCAAUUCGCCGUUCUCUCUCUCUUUCUCUUUCUUUCUCUCUCUUUGCAUCUCUUCAACAAGUCUCAGAUUCUCUACCUAUUUAUCUCUUCGCCAUUGUCAAUGCUGGCGGCCUCUCCGUGUGCGCCGCUGCUAUAGCCGGAGAUUCUGCGCCGGAGAUUCUCGCGGUGGUUCCAUCGGAUUUUUCUAGGGUUUUCUGAUCGUUCGGUUCGCGCUCCGUGGCAUCAACGCCCUAAUGCCUCCGCCGCGCCGACGCGGAGCGAACAAGGCGAAGGCCAAUGGUCACUUGAGAUUGGGCGAUCUCGUGCUCGCUAAGGUUAAGGGAUUCCCGUAUUGGCCUGCCAUGAUAAGCAGGCCUGAAGAUUGGGAGAAACCCCCUGAUCCAAAGAAGUAUUUUGUUCAAUUUUUUGGGACCAAAGAAAUAGCUUUUGUUGCCCCCGCGGAUAUUCAGGCAUUCACCAAUGAGACUAAAACUAAGUUGUCUGCUCGGUGUCAAGGAAAGACAAAGUACUUCACCAAAGCCGUGAAGGAAAUCUGUGCAGCAUUUGAGGAGUUAGAGAAACAGAAAGUUAGUGGUGUGAAAGAGGACACUGAUGAUUCACAUAUUGGGUCGGGAACUCCUGUUGUAGGGGUAGUGGCUCACCCAAAGGAUGGCACAGAUGCUGUGGUACUAAAUGUAGAAAAAACUGACACAUAUGUGGGAGAUGUUGGCUCAAAUUUGGGGCAAUAUACCCAGAAAUGUGAAGAAAGUGGUAGCCAAGAUGCAAAACCUUCUCUAUCUGGUCAUCCAAUUGACAGUGCGUCUCCAGUGUUGUCUCCUGUGAUUGAAAGCAAACCAUCAAUUGGUGAAGAACUAAAUAACUACAGUAGCAAAUCUGGCCUGGAUGAACAAUCACAUCGUAAAGUUGAAGACUAUGAUAUUGAGGAUUUGUGCAAUGUUAAUGACUUAAAGCAAGCUGAUUAUGUACAGAGUGUUUCUACAAAUGGGAACAACUCAAGAAAGAUUGUUAGUGACUCAAGGAGAAGAAAGAUUGCAGAUGACAGAAAAAGAAGUGGUGAAAUUAGUAGAGCAGUUUUGAAGGAUGAAAGCUGUGCAGGUUAUGCUAGUUUUUCCAGGUCUGGGGAGAAAUUGAAAGAUAAAAAAAAGGGGAAAGAUUCAUUUUCUGUUAGGUCAGAUUCUUUAGAUGCUCCAAAAUCAGACUCUGAUAUUAACAGUGGAAGUAAAAAUAAGAACCUGCUGAAAGUUAAAACAAGUCUUAAGGUUAAAAAAGAGUUACAAGAGAGCUUUGAAUGUUCUGAGGCUGAGAGAAGAAAACCUCUUAAACAUAACAAAACCCAUGUUCAUGGAAAACGUAAUUUGGGAACAUAUGAAACCUCACAUGCUACCAAGAAGUUGAAGUUUAUGGAUAACAAAGACAACAAGACUUCAAAAUCUCUCUCGGAAGAUGGGAAUAGUGUUUUUCCUAGCUCUCCUGACAAAGAAUUCAAACAAAUAGAGUUCAAAAGGUCUACAUCACGUUUGAAAUCAGAAAAAGGUUUGUCAUCGAGGGGUCAGAUCAGCAUUGUAGGUUCUGAUGAUUCUGUUGGUGAACUGCUGCCCGAGACAAAACAUCGUGUCCAAGUCCUGCAACCUAUGCCUGAUUCUGCUAGUGUUGCAACUGGUGGACAUACAGAGAUAAGUUCUCUUGGAUCGCAAGGUGACACAAAUAAUGUUGCAAUUAAGCAAGCAAAGAGGAGACGAAGAGCUGUUUGCGUUUCUGAUGAUGAUGAUGAACCGAAGACUCCUGUUCAUGGAGGAGCUGCUAAAGAUAUUAAAUCAACUUCUUUUGUUUCAGAGGUUAUGAAGAGCAGUGAUACACUGCUAGAGAACACUGAUGUUGCUCAGCUGGCUACCAAAAACCCUAUUGCACUUGAGGAUGUCCAUUUUAAAGAAUCCACUUCUGAAUUACAUAAUGACAAUUUGUCAACUGGGCAUCCUCAAAAUGAGACUGAUGAAGUUAUUCCUGUUCAAUUACCUCAUAGUCCUGGGAGAUUAGGUUCAAAGCAACUGCCUCCCAAGGUGGUGGAUAAAUUGAGGUCCAUCUCUCCUGUAAAUUCACCUCGUUCUCUUCAUACAACAAAGUCAAAUGCUGAGCAAAAUAAAUCUUCCAAACGUAUGCUUCAAGUUUCCAGUAAUUCUACUCAAAAGAAGGUUGAUAACGUGUCUUCAAAGAAUUUAAAUAGCUUCAGCUCUUCACCAAGUCAGGUCACUACUCAUAAAAAGAAGCCUGCACCUUCAGCUGAAACUUCUAAAACUACACCAAAGACAUUAUCACAAGCAGUUGAAGUUCCAGUUACAACAGAAAAUUUAAAGGAAUUUGAUGCUUUUCAUGUUGAUAGGACUCCAGAAACUCCUAAGACUAUGAAGAAUCUUAUUGCAGCUGCACAGGCAAAACGGAGACAAGUAGCUCAAGCUCAAUUUCAGCCUCUUUCCACUUACUAUACUCAAGGGGGAACACCAAGCCCCUCUACAAUUCAACCAUUUUUGUCUGCCUCAAGUAAUUUUGAUCAGGCUGAUUGGCAGGGAGUUCUUGAACACCCAACAUUGGCUUAUCCAUCAACUAAUGGGUAUCAAUCCAUUUCUCAAAAUGAACUUGAUGCUGUAGAAAAUGAGGAGAAAAUAGUUAGUCCAGUGCAAAAGGAUGUAAGGGGUUCUCUAAGUAGCGGUACUGAUGCCGCUAUUGCUCGUGAUGCCUUUGAAGGAAUGAUAGAGACUUUGUCUAGGACCAAGGAAAGUAUUGGGCGUGCAACACGUUUAGCUAUUGAUUGUGCUAAGUAUGGCAUUGCCAAUGAGGUUGUUGAACUUCUUAUUCGAAAGCUGGAAAGUGAAACUAGUUUUCAUCGUAAAGUGGAUUUGUUUUUUCUUGUUGAUUCCAUCACCCAGUGCUCUCAUAAUCAAAAAGGCAUUGCAGGAGCCUCAUACAUCCCCACAGUUCAAGGAGGGUUGCCACGCCUUCUUAGUGCUGCUGCUCCCCCUGGGGCCAGUGCUUCUGAAAAUCGUCGUCAAUGUCUCAAGGUUUUAAAGCUGUGGCUUGAGAGGAAAAUUUUCCCUGAAUCAGUUCUUCGUCGUUACAUGGAUGAUAUGACAGUUAGUUGUUCCUUUAGGCGUCCUUCUCGUGCUGAACGUUCUCUGGAUGACCCAAUUAGAGAAUUGGAGGGCAUGUUUGUUGAUGAGUAUGGAAGUAAUACAUUUAAGCUGCCUGGCUUUUUAUCUUCUUGUGUGUUUGAAGAAGAUGAAGACAAUGAUUUUCCAAGUAAUGCAUCUCCAGCAGAUGCGAUGCGCAUUGUUGGGGAUUCUGAAACUUCUACUGUUACCCCAAGUGACAAGCGCCAUUGUGUCUUGGAGGAUGUGGAUGGUGAGCUGGAAAUGGAAGAUGUUUCAGGUCACCUUAAGGAGGAAAGACCUUUAUCACUGAACAGUCCUUCUGAAAAGGAUUCUCAACUUCAGAGCUCGGAAAGGAUUUUAGUUCCAGCUUCAAACAUUUCUGCUGAGAUACCUGAUGAUAUUCUUGAGGGCUCUCCUCCUUUGCCAUUAGAUUCACCCCCUUCUCCUCCACCUUUGCCUUCCUCGCCUCCACCCCCUCCUUUGCCACCCCCAAGCCCUCCACCUUCACUGGUUCCUCAAUCAUAUGAGCCUGUUCAGCCUCCACUUUUCUCCCAGACAAUAGUGCCACCUCAAUUAUCGCAUCAGUCAUCACCAUUGUCAGGGUUUCAGCAGAGUGUACCUCAUGAUUUUAGUGGCUCAACCAAUGGCAACCAAAUAGGUCAAGUGGCUGGAAAUUCUUUCCCUGGAAGUCACAAUAGCUCAGUUGUCAAGAAUGAAAUAUUACAACAGCCAUCUGCUUGCUUUCCUGCAAUGGCAGGCUGCAACUCUCAAGAACCUUCUGGUUUUAACCCUCCGAGGCAGUUAGAAUAUGGACAAAAUGAUAUGUAUCUAAAUUCUCAAGGCCCUCAACCUAAUAUUCAAUUUCAGCCAGCUAACCCACCAUUUGCUCCAAGACAUGUGCAUCCUGCCCUACCCGAAAAUUCAUCCAAUCAAUACUCAUAUCAAAAGCCUACAAUUCCCCAGCACCUUCCACAUUCUUUCCUUCCCCCCUUCUCAUUGCCAUCAGUUCCAGAUGGCCAGAGGCAAUUUGGUGCUAAUGAGCAAUGGAGGAGACCAUCAAGUGAAUUUAUAACAAACAAUCAGCAGGGUCUAUGGAUAGGGAGAAAUCCUUCAUGUCCUGCUCCUCCCUUUGGGCAGGAAGGUUUUUUUCGGCCACCACUAGAAAGACCACCAAUAAACAACGUAGGUUUUCAGCAUGCAAAUCCUAGCAACAUACCUACUCAUCCUAUGACAGGACAUGGUGUUCCUCAGAUGUUGUCCUGUAGACCAGAUAUACCUGCACUUAAUUUUUGGAGGCCUACCUGAUGCUGAUAGAAAUAUUGUAAAAUUCAUCUGUACAAUUGUGUUGAUGCUUGUGGAUCAACUAUCGAGGUCACACAUUGUGGUUUGAAGUUAGAUUCACUUGUGUAGAACAUAUGGACCACUACCCGAGGAAAGUUUUGAAAACUUGUGGAGGCUUUUGGCAGGACUGUGUAUAUUAUAAUUUUUCCUGACAAUGUAUCCCAAGAACAUAUGCUUCCAAGUUUAGGUCCUUGUUUCUGACUUGGUUUUGGAGUAGAGGAAAGCUGGUAGGUUGUGGAGUUGAUGUCUUUGCUGGAUGUAUGAUUUGGUUUAAAAAGUCACAGUUGAUGAUUGCUAACAUAUAUCAAACAUGGCCCUGUGAUGUUUAUGGAUUUCGUGUUGCUUGAGCUAGGGUUACUUGAUCUACGUGGUGUUGAAAGGGGAGAAUCAUAUAAAAAAAAUUGUGGGAAGUUGUCAUCAAAGAGCCUUGCUGUUAAAUUCCAACACGCCGAUUUUCUAUUGAUUAGCUGAUCUCAGAAAUGAGUUAUUGAGAAGAGCAGGUACUUGAAGUUUUGCUUUAGUACAAGAGCUCAUUGCCAUUGGUGAAAAACAGGUUUUUCCGUAAGCGGAGAUGGAGAUUGGUUUACCUUUCUCAUGUUACAAUGUGGUUUCUGAACAACGAAUAAGGUCAGACACUCAGAUUCACAUUGCAUCCGAAACUGUAGAUCUUCGAACUAGAUAGUUGACAUGGAGGAACAUAAUUUUUUGUUAUGUAUUAUACAUGAAAUUUCGAUGCGACGACAUGUAUAAGGAUAGCUCUCAUGAAGGGCUUAAAAAAUUUAGCAAAAUAUUUCUGAUUUGCACAUUACAAUGUUUAGAUAGUGAUACUGUGUAGCACUGAUGCAUGCACAUCUUCACAGUUCUAGUUAUUUUGCAUACACAAGGAAGAAUCUUGAACAGAGAGCUUUUUGUACUUCACUGUAGAAAAAUUUCUGAUGCCUGGCAUUCUGCCUUCCCCAUCAAUGUGAUAUGCCAGGUCGAUGAUGAUUUAUUUACAGUC
Vigna angularis (adzuki bean) is the source of this 5665-nucleotide RNA transcript. It is a transcript of the gene named ENHANCER OF AG-4 protein 2, with no coding region annotated. The transcript is spliced from 16 exons. Lineage: Eukaryota; Viridiplantae; Streptophyta; Magnoliopsida; Fabales; Fabaceae. The record is from RefSeq and is a predicted model, not a curated record.